GACAGAGGAGCCAAGCGUUGUCCGGAUUGACUGGGCGUAAAGCGCACGCAGGCGGUCGCGCGCGUGGGGUGUGAAAUCUGGCCGCUUAACGGCCAGGCGCCAUCCCAUACGGCGCGACUGGAGCCAUGCAGAGGGCGGUGGAAUUGCCGGUGUAGUGGUGAAAUGCGUAGAGAUCGGGAGGAACAUCAGUUGCGAAGGCGGCUCUCUGGACCAGCACUGACACUGAGGCACGAAAGCGUGGGGAGCAAACAGG
This 253-nucleotide ribosomal RNA is filed under the name uncultured bacterium. RNAcentral describes it as "partial 16S ribosomal RNA". It matches the Rfam family "Bacterial small subunit ribosomal RNA", at positions 524 to 776 of the family's 1533-position model. The record is from RNAcentral.